RNAcentral lists this ribosomal RNA (240 nucleotides) under uncultured bacterium. RNAcentral describes it as "partial 16S ribosomal RNA". It matches the Rfam family "Bacterial small subunit ribosomal RNA", at positions 928 to 1167 of the family's 1533-position model. The record is from RNAcentral.
AGCGGUGGAGCAAUGUGGUUUAAUUCGAAGCAACGCGAAGAACCUUACCAAGUCUUGACAUCCCGAUGACAAGCUAUGUAAUGUAGCCUCUCUUCGGAGCAUCGGUGACAGGUGGUGCAUGGUUGUCGUCAGCUCGUGUCGUGAGAUGUUGGGUUAAGUCCCGCAACGAGCGCAACCCCUGUUCUUAGUAGCCAGCGGUUCGGCCGGGCACUCUAGGGAGACUGCCAGGGAUAACCUGGA